Molecule: ribosomal RNA, 564 nt
Filed under: uncultured Glomeromycotina
Lineage: Eukaryota; Fungi; Glomeromycota
Description: SSU rRNA
Rfam family: Eukaryotic small subunit ribosomal RNA
Source: RNAcentral
UUGGAGGGCAAGUCUGGUGCCAGCAGCCGCGGUAAUUCCAGCUCCAAUAGCGUAUAUUAAAGUUGUUGCAGUUAAAAAGCUCGUAGUUGAAUUUCGGGAUCAGAUUGUCGGUCGUGCCUCGGUACGCACUGGCAUUAUUGGUUCCUACCUUCUGAAGAACCGCGAUGUCAUUAAUUUGGUGUCGUGGGGAAUCAGGACUGUUACUUUGAAAAAAUUAGAGUGUUUAAAGCAGGCUUACGCUUGAAUACAUUAGCAUGGAAUAAUGAAAUAGGACGUUUGAUUCUAUUUUGUUGGUUUCUAGGAUUGACGUAAUGAUUAAUAGGGAUAGUUGGGGGCAUUAGUAUUCAAUUGUCAGAGGUGAAAUUCUUGGAUUUAUUGAAGACUAACUACUGCGAAAGCAUAUGCCAAGGAUGUUUUCAUUAAUCAAGAACGAAAGUUAGGGGAUCGAAGACGAUCAGAUACCGUCGUAGUCUUAACCAUAAACUAUGCCGACUAGGGAUCGGAUGAUGUUAAUUUUUUAAUGACUCAUUCGGCGCCUUACGGGAAACCAAAGUGUUUGGGUUC